This is a long non-coding RNA of Coturnix japonica (Japanese quail), 2151 nucleotides long. The record is from Ensembl. Lineage: Eukaryota; Metazoa; Chordata; Aves; Galliformes; Phasianidae.
AUCGCUUUCCCUGCACAGCAAAUGCAGCACUGGUGUCUCUUUGACCCCUUCAGUUCCCAAUAUGUGGAUAGGGAUUCUCCAGGAGAUUUCCCUCCCUUCUGCCCAGAUGUUCCGUGGAGGGGUGUUACCUGGAGAUGCUAGUUGAAAACAUUCCUAUUUUAUUCAACUGCUCAGCCUGAUGGGUCUUGUGUGCUGGACACCUUUCCUUGCAAGGCUGGAGCCAGGCCUGGUGGUGCGUUCCCUUCUUGCUGGGAGAGCACUGUUGCUUAGGGAAGAAUGGUUUGUGGUUAAGUCCAUUACCAUUUGCCUUACUCAAGACUGCAAGCCUGUCUCCAUGUGAAAGUUGGUGUCUUUGCUGCCUGUAACCCAGUUUCUGAACUCUUGUUGGGAGAGAACUGCUGAGGUAAAUAUCCUGAAGUUACCCACCAUGAUACCGCUAAAUAUUUUGGAGCUAGUAGUACUGGAAGAAGUAACACAGACUAAGUUCACAUAUUUUCCAUCUCUUGACUUUAAAGACUGCAUUGCCUGGACAGGCAGAUCACAUCUUGGAAGCAGUUCUUCAUGCCUGUUAAGUAACAGGUUUGUAUGUUGAAAAGUACAGAUAAUCCCAUGGCAACAGCUGUCAGGUAAAAGCCCAGCCUAAAUCUAACUGAGGAUGCAUGCACUCCAGGAUGAACUGGUCCACAGGAGGCUCAGCUUCUGCGGGUUACAUUGCAGUGAAGACUCAGAUGUUUCAGAAGAAUGCGAAAGGUGUCCAUUCCAAAUGCCAGCUUCCACCAUGUGCAAGGGAGAGAAGUGAGUUCAGGUGAAGCAAAAUCUAGACUGUAAAGUCUUCAUUCUAACUCUUAUCUCCAGCUUUUACCUUUCCAACCUUUCAUUCCUAGCUGUGGCUAAUCUUGGCUCAAUGUUGAAAUAGUAUUUGUUUAAGGUAUCUAUGUAUACAAGAAUUAUUCAGUAUUCUCCAGCAGAUACAGUUGGUCAUGAUCCUGAUUUUUUGUAAGUAGUUCAAAGACUUCCACAAUCCUAGUGGAGAAGCAGGGCCUCUAGGUAUUCAUAUCUUAUGAAUAAGAGUAAGCAAAUAUGCUGUCUAAAAAUGAUUUAAAAGAUCACAACAAAUAACAGUGUGGUACAGUAGUACAUUGUGGUUACCAGUGAACUCUUCUCUCCUUACAUACUGACAUACUGAAAACCAAGGUGACAUGUUAGACCACUUCUAAAUUGAUUGGAUUUUGGGGUUUGAUUAGUCUAAAAUCCCUUUAAAAGAACUUAAGUGGAAAGAAAAAAAAAAAAAAAAAAAGCAAGCUUCCAAAGGGAAGUUGUCAGACUAAAAUAUUUCUGAGUUUUAUUGCAUACAGUGAGAAGCAUAGAGAAAAGAUACAAAAAUAGAUGAGAGAAAUAAUGGUACUUAUCUAAAGUCUUUCACUCCUGUAACUGGUCUGCACUUGUGUUCAUAUAUCUAUAUCCAUGUCAUUAUGAUCCUUGAAAUGAGCUAGUUGUUUUCUUCUGUUCAUAAGAGAUAUAUAUACACAUAUAUACUUAUUUCUUAAGGUCCAUUCUCUUAGGCGAAUUCACUAUCAUACCUGAUAUAAGUAACACCUUCAUCAGCCACCAGUGGGAAAUCAAUUAAAUCCUUCACAGAAAUUCUAUUGGUUUCAGACAGGAGAACAGCACAGAUGCUGUAAGUUUCUAGGACCCAGCUGUCAAAUAGUGUGUGUAGAAAGCUAUGAUUUAGAAUUUCCUCUCUAAGGCUUCCCAGCAGUGAGCCUAAAUGCAGAGUGUGGGUUAGGGAACCCUCAUUCUCCCUGGGGAGAUGAAACAAACAUGCCCAGAAGCCAGAAAAGAAUCUGUUCUCAUCUUAUUUCCAGCCUACUUUCAAACCGGAUGAGAUUUCCAUACUGAGAACUUUGUAUUCAGAUGACAAUGACUUUGUGCUACUUUGAUCCUAAUUUUAUUUCCAAGCUGUAGGGUUUUGUCCACCUCAGGGAAUAAUGCAAAACAGAUUCAGGACGAGUGUGGAAGAGUAUUUGUGCAACACCGUUGCCUUCAUUGUUAGAGAUUCUUGGUUUACUCAGUCAGCAAAUCAUUCACAGCCUUCAUUGGAAUUUCUGCCUCUUAGAACAAAGAUAAAUAAAUAAAAAGUACACAUUUCCA